Molecule: non-coding RNA, 136 nt
Organism: Brachypodium distachyon (stiff brome)
Lineage: Eukaryota; Viridiplantae; Streptophyta; Magnoliopsida; Poales; Poaceae
Source: Rfam
UAAGUACUUCCUCCGUCCAACAAAGGAUGUCUCAACUUAGACUAAAUUUGAAUGCAUCUAUACACUAAGUCAUGUCUAGAUACAUUCAAAUUUUGACAAACUUGAGACAUCUUUUGUUGGAUGGAGGGAGUAGUAA